Molecule: ribosomal RNA, 253 nt
Filed under: uncultured bacterium
Lineage: Bacteria
Description: partial 16S ribosomal RNA
Rfam family: Bacterial small subunit ribosomal RNA
Source: RNAcentral
UACGAAGGGGGCUAGCGUUGUUCGGAAUCACUGGGCGUAAAGGGUGCGUAGGCGGGUCUUUAAGUCAGGGGUGAAAUCCUGGAGCUCAACUCCAGAACUGCCUUUGAUACUGAGGAUCUUGAGUUCGGGAGAGGUGAGUGGAACUGCGAGUGUAGAGGUGAAAUUCGUAGAUAUUCGCAAGAACACCAGUGGCGAAGGCGGCUCACUGGCCCGGUACUGACGCUGAGGUGCGAAAGCGUGGGGAGCAAACAGG